This 301-nucleotide ribosomal RNA is filed under the name uncultured bacterium. Its description in RNAcentral is "partial 16S ribosomal RNA". It matches the Rfam family "Bacterial small subunit ribosomal RNA", at positions 509 to 807 of the family's 1533-position model. The record is from RNAcentral.
CAGUAGCCGCGGGAAUACGAAGGGGGCUAGCGUUGCUCGGAAUCACUGGGCGUAAAGGGUGCGUAGGCGGGUCUUUAAGUCAGGGGUGAAAUCCUGGAGCUCAACUCCAGAACUGCCUUUGAUACUGAGGAUCUUGAGUUCGGGAGAGGUGAGUGGAACUCCGAGUGUAGAGGUGAAAUUCGUAGAUAUUCGGAAGAACACCAGUGGCGAAGGCGACACACUGGCUCAUUACUGACGCUGAGGCUCGAAAGCGUGGGGAGCAAACAGGAUUAGAUACCCGAGUAGUCCCUGUCUCUUAUAC